UAUAUGCCAAGUCCUUUCCUAUCUUUAUUAUUGAAAAUAUUCCCAUAUGUAUACACAAAGCCAUGUGGAAGCUCUUUCGUAAUUUUGUUAAUCUAUCACUUACAAAUUCUUCACACAAUGUGAUACAAUACACAUACAAUGCAACAAAGAAAACAGAGCUGUAGCUUGAUUAGUCAAAUCUUAUUUAUUGCAGCCACACAUCAGAUACUAUGUUUAGAUUGGUGCCCAUAUUUUAGGCAAAAUUAUUUAGAUCAGAGGUUCUCAAAUAGGAUGUCCACGAUAUGGAGCAGACUGGGAGAUUAUGCCAUGGCAUAAUAAUAAUAAUGGGAUAAAAGCGAAACAAGAGUGGUCAAGGAAAUGUAGGUAGUGAAACUAAAAUGCGGAUUAUGUGAUGAUAACAGUAUUGGUAGUAAAUAGGAACAAAUCUGGUUUUUCUGUGUUGUAUCAAUCCAUGUGAAAUGAAGAACAAAACCAUGUUACUUAGAAAAUUCGCAAUGUUAGAUACAAUAGAGCUGAUGGAAGUCCAGCAUCAACAAGACUUGGCAGCUACACAGUGGUUGAUCAGGAAAAUCUAUGAGGUCUCUGCACUAUCAGCCAAAGAUGGGAUUUCCAAGGUUCCAGAUAUUGUAGCUAUCUGUGUGACUUCUCCAUUAGCAGCAAGUAGAAAAGUCCUCAGGCCCAUGGGAGGGUGGAUAUGAAUUCGGAUAAAAAGGAGAAAGGGGGUCGUUCCUAAAGGCUGGGUCUGCCUGGAAUGGAAGAAAGGGAGCAAACAGCAACAAGAGACAGACAUCAUUACUACUCCUCCACAUGCUACCUGCCCUCUCUUUUCUUUCUUUGUAUUCUUUCUACUACAAAUCCAGAAAUUCUAAAACAAUGUCUAUAGGAACACUGAGAAAAUGCAAGAUCUAUCUGGGCAAUAUCUCUUACUUACCUGCCUUCAUAGAGAAAGAGCAAGAAGAGGAAUUCUGAUUCAAGCUCUCUAAAUGAAUACCCUGCCAUUUCCCUUUACACACCCUACCCCAUUUCAUCUGGCAAACAUAGACAGCUGUUAUUUUCUCUUUGCUCACAGGUUCCUGUCUUUUCCAUUUAUCCAAAUCCCACCCAGCCUUCUUGACUCAGCUCACAUCUCAGCAAAUCUACCCUUUUUUUUUAAAAAAUCCAGUUCACAUGCUUGAGCUCUACCUCUCUGCCAAAUUCUUAGAUCAUUUCAAGUCUGUAGCUUACAAUUCAGUACUUAAUAUAUCAUCUAUUCUUUGUUGUUGUUUCUUGUAUCUUAAUCCUCUUACUCUGCUUAACAAAAUUGCAAAUGAUACAAAGCUGUUUGAGAUAGCUAAUCACAGAAAAUACAAAUUACAAUAGGCAGGAGUAAUGGGUACAAGUCACCAAGCCAAAAUUUGAUAGGAACAAAUGAAGAGUCUGACCUUGGCCAAUAACAAUAGCAUGCCGUGAACAGCCAAGCAUGGUUAACUCUAUUCUGUGGACUGUAGGUCCAUUAAAAAAAUAAUAAAAUGAUAAAAUUCUGUACAUAGGAUUGAAAAUGGAGUUGCAUGUAUAGAAUAGCAGUAACAUAUUACAAAAUUGUUUCUAUAUAAGAAGGAACUAGGUCUUUCAUUUAUUCAUUUAUUUUUAUGCACUCAUUAAGCAUUUAUGAUGACCUGAGAUGUGCCUCACAUUAAGCGAGGGUGGGGGGAAAGAAAAAUGAUCUGCCUUUCUCCUCAAGGAUCUCACACAUUGCUAUGCAAACUGAAGACUGGUCUUCACUACGGGGAGCAAAAAAUAUGGGCAUGUUCAAAAUGCUGGAUAAAAGCAAAAGCUCAGUAUUAGUUAUCAAUAUGCAAAUUAUAGCGGAUAAGGGGUCCAUGCAAACUGAGACUGAUUCCAGGGUGCACAGUGUCUGGAAAGAACAAGGGAGAAGGUGAUACCACAAUCCUCAUGCAGGCAGACCAGAAGAGGGAUGCUGUUAGCUUCUCAAUAACACAUAUUAUGAAAAGGAUUAGGAGAUUACGGUGUACUUUGAAGAGGACCACAGAAACUUUAAAGAUAUGGGAAAUGAGUCUUAUAAUUACAAAUGACAAAAGAACAGAAGAAAUAAAGAAGAGAUAAAGAUGAUUAUAUUUAGACACUUGAAGGACCCACGUAGGGAAAAGGGAUAGACUUGCUCUGAAAACAUAUAGAAGGCAAAAUGGGAUGUAUGACAGAGUGGCAAAGAGGCAGAUUUUGUCUAACUAACAAGGAGAAUUUCCUAACAGUAAAAGCUGUCCAAAAUGAAAACAUGCUGCCUUGGGAAGGAGAGUCCUCAAGUAAAUGACCCACUGUCCAGCAGAAAUUUUAUUGCGUCAUGCUUAACAUUCUUACAAUAUCUAAUAAUGAUGAAGAUUUUGAUGAUACUUAUAAUGAAACAUUUACUUCCACACUACUUACUGAGAAUCUAUUAUCUUCUAGGUACCAUAUUAGCUACCAUAUAUUUAGCUAGAGUAUUUUGCGAUUGCUGAAACGGGACACUGGCAUAACUGAUGGAAAGAUAUCAAUAGGCCAAGUUCAAGGAUAGGCAAGUAGGCACAUACUCCCAGAGGAAGUACGGGCUUUCUAGAAAACCUGAAGUUCCCCAUAAGGGCAUUGAGUUGCUGUUGAUCCCACUGCAGUAAGUGAGAAAUCAGACGCAAGAAGUUCUGUUAAUUCUUGUAGAAGGUUUUGUAAGCUCCAUUCUCUACUCCUCGGCUGCUGUAGAAAAUCUGUAAGGUUAAACCGCCCACCAAGUGCAAUGGAGUGGGGCAGAACAAUCCUGGAGUUGGCUACAUGAGAGUGUGUAUCAAAGGGGGAUUGCUCUAGAGUAGGCUGCCCUAAGUCAACCUUGGCUUCAGGCUUGGCAAUUUUAUAGGGAAAGUGGGCUGGGAGGUACAGAUGGAAUGGACAGUCUGUGACUAGAUUCCAGCUCCUACAAAAUCUCAAAUUCUCAGAAGGGUUUUUUAAAUCUUUCAAGUACAGGUACUUAUGAAUCAGACCAAGUACCAAAAAUGGCUAAUUUUCCCAAUCUGUUAGGAAUCAGAUUCUGUAUUUACGUACAUAGAAAAAUAUCAUAAUUACGUAUAUCCACAUUUUCUUUAAUGAAAACAUGUUGAUUUGUAACUAUUCCUUACAUUCCUCCUUACAUGGGCUGCAUGCCAUGGAAGGCGGUACCCCUUUCUUACCCAUUUUUGCAGUGGACAACAUUGGUACCCAGAGCAUUGCAGACUGAUGCUGUGUUCCUAUCAUAGUGUGCACAAGGUUCAGCAAAAUGGAAUUGCAAAGUGACAAAGGAGAAGCACCGCUCUCAGGGGCCCAGGAACCCCAGAAAUAGUAAGAGAAUGCUGGCCCCUGUAUGAACACUAUGAAACAGUUAAGAAACAAGAUGAUCAGUCUUCAUUACUACUACAACAUACCCAGGGUGCAGGAACCCGGAGCUACCAAGAUUUCAGUGAUAUGGACAAACAUUGAGCUUUCAAGAAGGCAGGAAUGUCCUUUUUAGCCAAGAGGAAUCAUCCCAGGAAUGGUGCACAAGAACUUCCAACUAUACGUUUAUCUUCUGCAACUAAGAAGUCAAAAGACAUUUCAUGCUCAAUAAUUUAUUUGCUUUUAUUGUAUUUUUAAUGCUCAACUUGUCAAAAAUCAUUAAUAUAUCUAUACCAUAAAAUAUAAUCUUAUUUUUAAGAAAAAAAAUCUUUCAGCAAUCAAUUCAGGGCAAAAGAGAUAUCAAGAAAAGUAGUCUUAUCUGCUCAGUGGACUCCAACUAUUAAUAGAUUAUUUUCCAAAAAUUUCUUUAUAAAUCAGUUGUUUGAAAAUCUUUUAGAUUUCUCCAGUGGGACAAUAUUAUAGCGAUUGAGAUUUCUGGGAGAGUAUUCCAAUGCCUAUUUAACUCCUUAGGCUAUAUGUUCAAAAUGAAACACUGUGAAGUAAAUUUGUAUACUAUAAAACGAAACACCUUUACAAUGCUACUAAUUCAAUAAAACAAACAAAAAAAGUGCUAAAAUGCAAAGAAUAUAUUGUCUAUAUUUUAAGCUAAUACUGAGACAAGCUUUUUUAAUUAGGGGAGAAUGAAAAGGUAGGUAGAGAUUUUACAGAUGUUUUGAAGGGAAUUAGGAAUAUUUUCAAGGAUUUAUAUGUUAUUGGCAGUGGUUCUUGAUUAUUCCUAAUUGCCACUUCAAAUUAUAUGAUGUUCUUGCCUUAAAACAGGUAUGUCACUAACCACUAAAAUUUCAAACAAUGAUUAUCCCACUGUUUGAAUCAUGAUUGCAAUAAUGAAGGUGAGAAUAAAAAAGUUAAUGAGGAAGGAAAUAGAGAAAAUACACCAUACUAACUGGGAAAGAGUUUUAACAGAUAAAGGAGAAAACAAUAAAAUGCAAGUGGAUGUGUUAUGUUGUGAAACAUUAUGUGAGGGGGGAAUACCUGAGCUGGUACUGGUAAACUAAAGAGGAGAAAAGGAGCAGGAUCCAUUUGAGAGAAGAAUAAAGUUAGUUGUGGUAUAGAAACAUUGGAGUCAGACACCUUAGAGCAGGAGACAAGGGAAGAGUAGAAUUACUCUCUUGAUGUUUAAAGUAAUGAGUCUGAGUGGGACUUGAGCUUGUACAAUGACGUACUGAGUGAGAAGCAGACAGAGGAAUGAGAUAAGAAGGGGCAUAAAAGAGCUUUUCUUUAGUAUUGAACAAUGAUACCAGGUAUGUGUCAUCUAUUCAGCCUCUUGAAGUUGAGGCAGGCGUUCCCACAGCCCCACACCCUGUUAAUGAGCCUAGCACAGAAUCUAUACCUGCUUUUCAUUUGUCCAUCCUUGAGGUCUGACAGCCUUCUGCGUGGUUAAGUUAGCUUUAUGCUUCCACCUCCCCAGCCCUCCUAUUUUACCUGAAUCCCAUUUCUGGGUGCAAUCCUGGGAAUUUUUCCGAGGAGAUCAUAAAUUAGAUUGGAACUAGGACUAUUAACAAACACAAAACCAGGGAAAAACUGGAUUUGCAACAAUCCCUGGGGGCUGUGACUUUAUUCAAAUGAAUCAAGUGUGUAUUGAGUGCUGACUUCUGGAUCAGAUGCUAUGCUAUGAAAUUUCACAUUUAUAAUUUCUAUUUAACAUUUAAUCAGUUUUUGGCGAUUAUAUUCUCAGCAACCAUAUACAGGUGCUAGAGGGCUAACUGGCAUAGAUUCAGGUUCAAGUUAGAGAAGGCAGAAACCAGAGCAAGAUCAUGACAGCUGGGGACCACUGGAGAGGAACACUGACAUUCUAACAACAAAAUGGACAACUCCAGUGGACCAAAAUAAGUUGACUAUACCCGAAAUGAUGGAAGAAACGGCGCAAACAUUAACCCUGAAGGGAGAAGGAAGAGAAGAGUCAUAUGUCUUUUGGCUUCAUUAUGGUGACAAAGACAGUUCUGGACGCCUUGCCCAUGCUUGGUACCUGCUAACCUAUUGACUCGAAUACAUGCGGUCUAUAUACACGGGCUCUCCUUUGCUUAUACAACCCAAAGUGAGGAUCCCAGAGAGAGAUGUUGUCCAGGGUCACAAGACCAGUGAAUAUAAGCACUGGAAUGAGACAAUAGAACUUCCAAAGGUGGAAAAAAGUAAUGCUUCCAAAACUCAGGCCAGGAACAUGUAUCCAGAGCAGAGAGGAUUUGCCUAAUUAUCACCCUUGGAGACUCACUGGAGUAGCAGAAGGCUGGGUCUGCUUCUCACGAAG
Molecule: long non-coding RNA, 5695 nt
Organism: Felis catus (domestic cat)
Lineage: Eukaryota; Metazoa; Chordata; Mammalia; Carnivora; Felidae
Exons: 7
Source: RefSeq, a predicted model, not a curated record